Cydia splendana is the source of this 3781-nucleotide long non-coding RNA. RefSeq lists it as uncharacterized. NCBI's taxonomy places the organism in Eukaryota, Metazoa, Arthropoda, Insecta, Lepidoptera, Tortricidae. The record is from RefSeq and is a predicted model, not a curated record. The transcript has 2 exons.
CGGCAGGAGAGGCACUGCGACGCCUGUGGCGCGCGCAGUCAUAAUUACGCGAAUUGCAAGUUCCGGGACUAUGUGUGCAGCAAGUGUCAGCGUACAGGCCAUUUGCGGCGGGUGUGCCCGGACUGGGGCUCGGCACCGGGAACCGCGGGCCGUGGAGGAGCGCGGGCGCCGGCCCGGCGCGGAGGGGCAGCGGCGGCGACGCCGGCGCGGAGUGCCAUGCAUUUUGGGGUGGCCGAUCACGAACCGAGUGAGGAUUACGGCGGAGACAUCGAGGAAGAAUUACAUCACCUAUGUUUAAAUAACUACCCGGCGAUAUGAGGCGUUGUUCAGCGAUGGACUGGGCCGGUACAAGGGCGGCAAGGCGACCUUGAGGGUGCGGGAGGGCGCAGCACCGGUGUUCCAUCGCGCACGCCCGAUGCCGUACGCGCUGCGCGAGCGCGUGGACGCCGAACUGGACGCCAUGCUGAGCGCCGGCGUCAUCGAACCCGUCGACUGCUCGGACUGGGCGUCACCACUGGUACCUAUUAAUAAGCCGGACGGCUCCCUUAGAAUUUGUGCAGACUAUAAAACUACCUUAAACCCGUAUUUGUUGGUUGAUCGGUAUCCUCUCCCUAAAAUAGAAGAUGUUCUUGUAAAUUUAAAUGGCAAUAUGUACUUUAGUAAAAUUGAUCUUUCACAAGCGUACAACCAAAUUGAACUGGACGAGUCUAAAUGUUAUACGGUUAUUAACACCCACCGAGGGCUGUUUCAGUAUAACAGACUGGUGUACGGCUUAUCAUCUAGUGUAGGAAUAUUUCAGCGUAUUAUGAUAAAUUUAUUGGGUAAUAUACCUAAUGUACAAAUAUUUUUAGACGAUGUAAUUAUCGGUGGCAAAACUAAAUCGGAACAUCUACACGCUUUAGAAGCGGUUUUUCAGCGUUUACUUACUAACGGAUUGAAGUUAAGGAAAAAUAAAUGUGUUUUUUUGGCUAAGGAAGUCACAUACUUAGGGUAUGUAGUUACUAGGGAGGGCAUCAAACCGGAUACAACAAAGAUAAAGGCGAUUCUGCAAAUGUCUCAACCUCGUAACGUAUCGGAGUUAAGGUCGUUCUUAGGGACGGUAAAUUUUUUCGGAAGGUUUCUUAAAAAUCUCAGUUUAAUAUUGUCACCACUUUAUAAACUAUUAAAAAAGGAGGCGGAGUGGCACUGGAGCAAGGAGUGCGGGGAAUCUUUCGUGCAGGUAAAACAAUUAUUGUCGGGCGCUCAAGUAUUAAGGCAUUAUGAUCCGAGUAAACGAUUGAUAGCGACUUGUGACGCGUCGCCACGGGGGGUGGGGGCGGUUUUGACCCAAAUUGGACCGGAUGGCGAACGCCCGGUCGCGUACGCAUCUCGUACCUUAAACAGCGCAGAGGCGAAUUAUUCGCAGAUACACCGCGAAGCCUUAGGUAUUAUUUUUUGUGUAAAGAAAUUCCACCAGUAUCUUUACGGACGUCAUUUCACAUUGCGCACAGAUCACAAACCACUAGUAUCAAUAUUUGGGCCGAAUACGGGUAUACCGACAAUGACAGCUAGCAGGAUGCAGCGGUGGGCAAUAAUAUUAUCAGCUUAUGAUUACGAAAUUGAAUAUGUGAAUACGAAGGAUAACUGUGCGGACGGGUUGUCUAGAUUACCUAAUGCCAAUGAGACACGGAAUAAUUCUGGUGAUGCUAUUCCCGAGCAAACAUAUCUGCAUUUCGCGCAAGACGCGUUGUUGUUAGAUUAUUAUAAGAUAAGGUACUAUACUACGCGUGAUCCAGUUUUGGCUAGAGUGUUAACUUUUGUUCGCGAUGGUUGGCCGGAUAGUUGUGACUUUGAUACAUUGAAGCCAUACUUUAACAGAAAGUCAGAAUUAUAUGACGAGUUGGGUUGUGUCAUGUGGGGGCACCGGGUAGUAAUACCGGAGAAGUGCCGCGACAAGGUUUUAAGAAUUCUGCAUGAACCUCACAUGGGUAUAGUUAAGACCAAGGCGUUGGCCCGUAGCUAUGUGUGGUGGCCGGGCCUCGACGAGGCGGUGGAGGCGGCGUGUCGUGAGUGCGAGCCGUGCGCCGCGGUGGCGAGCGGCCCGCCGCGACACCCGCCGCGCUGCUGGCCGUGGCCAACGCGAGCAUGGACUCGGGUGCAUGUAGAUUUCUUGGGCCCUUUUCACGGGAAAACUUAUUUAAUAGUAGUGGACGCUAUGUCAAAAUGGGUCGAAGUAUUCCAGGUUCCUAGCACGGCUGCCGUUUCAACCAUUCAAAAAUUAACCGAAUUAUGGGCUAGAUGGGGAAUACCUAAACAAUUGAUAAGCGAUAACGGGCCGCCGUUUUCGAGCAAAGAAUUUUCGCACUUUUUAGCCUUAGACGGGGUAGAACAGAUUUUUACGGCUCCUUAUCACCCUGCCUCUAACGGAGCGGCAGAAAAUUCGGUUAAAGUAAUAAAACAAGUUAUAAAAAAAGCGGUAAUAGAAAAAAACGACAUUCUAAACGCUAUCAACACAUAUUUAAUUUACUAUCGCAAUACGGCGCACAGUUCCACAGGCGAGAGCCCCGCGAUGCUCAUGACAGGUAGGCAAUUGCGAACGCGCUUAGAUUUGUUAAAACCGGAUGUAAGUUUGAAGGUAACUAAAAACCAACAGCGGCAAACUCGCUUGGCUGGAGGGUCGGAACGGAGGAUCGAAAUAGGAGAGGACGUUUGGUAUCGUAAAUAUCUGAAGGGAGAAAAAUGGCAACCGGGUAAGGUGUCCGGGGUUCUAGGUGACACGGAUUAUAACGUUACAGAUGGUCAGGGUAACAUUAUUCACCGCCAUAUCGACCAAUUAAAACGGAGGGCGAGGAGUUCUAUAGUCUGUCCAAAAAGUAAUGAGGAAAGUAGGGAAACAAUGGCCACGAAUGCAUCCCCAAGCUUGCCACCGAAACCCAGGGCUGAGCCAACAACGCCGCGAGCGAGUACCAGUGGGCUCAGGAGCGAGUCGGCGGGACCUUCGACGCCGAUGUUCGAUGCUUCGCCGGCGCGAAGUAUGGCGGAAGGGGAGGAAGAGGAUAUAGAAUGCUAUUCCACGCCCGGUAAGGAUACGGGGAGUGGUGAUGAGCAUGUUGAUCAGCCGACGACCCCCCUUGCACCGGCUCGGUCCCGGCCCCUUAGACAAUGUAGAUUGAAAAAACCAUCAUAUAAAGUAUAAACAGUAGGAAUUUGUGUUGGUUAAUUAAGUUUAAUAUUUAGAGUAAAAUACUAAUAGAUUCAUAUCAAUAAAUAAUAGAUCAAUAAUUCCUAUCGCUUAAGUGUGAAGCAUCUACUUAAUAGCAUUAUAUAACGGAAUUGAACUAAGUAGUGUAAUUUAAGUAAAUAGAAGCUUUGUUACAGUAUGUGAUAUCCUUGUAGGAUGUAUGGUUUAGGAUAAGAUGUCAUAGAACUCAACAUUACUAGCAUGUAUUGGCAAGAUUACGUUUACGAAUAAUUAAUCCAUUAUGAAUCGUACUUAUUGAACAGAAGAUCUAUAGUUAAAACUCAUAGCGAUUGUUAUUGUUAGACAAACGGGUUCUCCCGUUAACACUGUGUACGCGUAUACCUAUGGUUAUGUAAUCUGCAGCAUGCUACUACUGGAUUUAAUACCUCGUUUCCUUUAUUGUAAUUUUAGUAGGAUUUAGGUUAUAUGAAAGACGUUUAUGAUGCUACUACUUAGUAUUAAUUAAGUGUGGAGAAGUGUGACGUAUGUAGGUAGUGAUAGAUAUAACUAUUGACGUGUGUCAAAUCCUGAGUCAGUCCGGAAUAAACUCUCGAAUAGUAA